This 2921-nucleotide ribosomal RNA is filed under the name Desulfovibrio sp. OttesenSCG-928-C06. RNAcentral describes it as "23S ribosomal RNA". It matches the Rfam family "Bacterial large subunit ribosomal RNA". Lineage: Bacteria; Pseudomonadati; Thermodesulfobacteriota; Desulfovibrionia; Desulfovibrionales; Desulfovibrionaceae. The record is from RNAcentral.
AAAUAAGUUACUAAGGGCACCAGGUGGAUGCCUUGACGCUAGGAGGCGAUGAAAGACGUGGUAGGCUGCGAUAAGUCUCGGUGAGGAGCCAAACAUCCUUUGACCCGGGAAUUUCUGAAUGGGGAAACCCGGCGGGAGUCAUGUCCCGUCACCUUGAACUGAAUACAUAGGUUCAAUGGAGCUAACGCAGGGAAGUGAAACAUCUCAGUACCUGCAGGAAAGUAAAUCAAACGAGACUCCCCCAGUAGCGGCGAGCGAACGGGGACUAGCCCAAACCAGAUAGAUACGUUUAUCUGGGGUUGUAGGGCCGGCAUAAUGGAUCUGUGAUUAGGCAGGAGAACACAGCUGGAAAGCUGGGCCAAAGCGGGUGAUAGCCCCGUAUCUGAAACCGAAUAGCAGCCAGGCCGGUACCUGAGUACUGCGAGGCACGUGAAACCUCGUGGGAAUCCGGGAGGACCAUCUUCCAAGGCUAAGUACUACCUAGCGAUCGAUAGCGAACCAGUACCGUAAGGGAAAGGUGAAAAGAACCCCUGUUAGGGGAGUGAAAAGAACCUGAAACCUGUUGCCUACAAGCUGUGGGAGCAUCUUUAUGGUGUGACCGCGUGCCUUUUGCAUAAUGAGUCAGCGAGUUAAUCUGUACAGCGAGGUUAAGCGAGAGUGUAGCCGUAGCGAAAGCGAGUCUUAAUAGGGCGUAUAGUUGUGCGGAUUAGACCCGAAACCGAGUGAUCUAUCCAUGGCCAGGUUGAAGGUGGGGUAAAACCCUCUGGAGGACCGAACCCGUUAGGGCUGAAAACCUUUGGGAUGAGCUGUGGAUAGGGGUGAAAGGCCAAUCAAACUCGGUGAUAGCUGGUUCUCUCCGAAAUAUAUUGAGGUAUAGCCUCAGGAAUUGUCUUGCGGAGGUAAAGCACUGAAAGAGCUAGGGGUCCUACCAGAUUACCAAACUCUAUCAAACUCUGAAUGCCGCAUAGAUGUAUCCUGGGAGUCAGACUGCGGGUGCGAAGAUUCGUAGUCGAGAGGGAAAGAGCCCAGACCAACAGCUAAGGUCUCCAAAUUCAUACUCAGUGGUUAAGGUAGUAGAGUCGUUCAGACAGCCAGGAAGUUGGCUUAGAAGCAGCCAUCUUUUAAAGAAAGCGUAAUAGCUCACUGGUCUAAUGACUCCGCGCCGAAAAUGUAACGGGGCUAAGUAUGGUACCGAAGCUUUGGAAUCUACUUUUAGUAGAUUGGUAGGAGAGCGUUCUCAUCGGGCUGAAGCUGCCGCGUAAGCGUGUGGUGGACUGGUGAGAAGUGAUUAUGCUGACAUAAGUAACGAUAAAACGGGUGAAAAACCCGUUCGCCGUAAACCCAAGGUUUCCUGGGUAAAGUUAAUCUUCCCAGGGUUAGUCGGUCCCUAAGGCAAGGGCGAAAGCCGUAGUCGAUGGAAAACGGGUUAAUAUUCCCGUACUUGUAAAGUUGUGCGAUGGAGGGACGCAGAAGGAUAGGUCAUCCGGUUAUUGGUAUACCGGUGUAAGUGCGUAGGCUUGGAGGAUAGGCAAAUCCGUUCUCCUUUAAGGCCGAGACACGAUGCCGUGAGCGUAUGCUCUGAAGUGAUUGAUUCCAUGCUGCCUAGAAAAGCUUCUAAGUUUAGACUUUGCAAACCGUACCGCAAACCAACUCAGGUGGGUGGGUAUAAAUGUACCAAGGCGCUCGAGAGAACUCUGGUUAAGGAACUCGGCAAAAUAACCCCGUAACUUCGGGAGAAGGGGUGCUCCUUAUGGUGAAGUAUUUACUUUCUGAGCUGUGAGGAGCCGCAGAGAAAUGGCGGUGGCGACUGUUUACUAAAAACAUAGGGCUAUGCUAAGUCGUAAGACGCUGUAUAUGGCCUGACGCCUGCCCGGUGCCGGAAGGUUAAGAGGAGAGGUUAGCGCAAGCGAAGCUUUGAAUUGAAGCCCCGGUAAACGGCGGCCGUAACUAUAACGGUCCUAAGGUAGCGAAAUUCCUUGUCGGGUAAGUUCCGACCUGCACGAAUGGCGUAACGAUCUCCGCACUGUCUCAACCAGAGACUCGGUGAAAUUGAAUUGGCGGUGAAAAUGCCGUCUACCCGCAGUGUGACGGAAAGACCCUGUGCACCUUUACUAUAGCUUGACAUUGGGUUUUGAGCUGGCAUGUGUAGGAUAGGUGGGAGGCUUUGAAGCGUGUACGCCAGUAUGCGUGGAGCCACCCUUGAAAUACCACCCUUGUCAGUUUAAGGCCCUAAUCCAUAGCCGUCAUCCGGCAUGGAGACAUUGUCUGGUGGGUAGUUUGACUGGGGCGGUCGCCUCCCAAAUGAUAACGGAGGCAUGCAAAGGUUCCCUCAGCCUGAUUGGAAACCAGGCGCCGAGUGCAAACGCAUAAGGGAGCUUGACUGCAAGAGUGACAGCUCGAGCAGGUACGAAAGUAGGCGUUAGUGAUCCGGUGGUCCCGAAUGGAAGGGCCAUCGCUCAUUGGAUAAAAGGUACGCCGGGGAUAACAGGCUGAUCGCAUCCAAGAGUCCAUAUCGACGAUGCGGUUUGGCACCUCGAUGUCGACUCAUCACAUCCUGGGGCUGAAGCAGGUCCCAAGGGUACGGCUGUUCGCCGUUUAAAGUGGUACGUGAGUUGGGUUUAAAACGUCGUGAGACAGUUUGGUCCCUAUCUACUGUGGGCGUAGGAUAUUUGAGAGGGUCUGUUCCUAGUACGAGAGGACCGGAAUGGACGAACCACUGGUGUCCCUGUUGUUUCGCCAGAAGCAUCGCAGGGUAGCUAAGUUCGGAAGGGAUAACCGCUGAAAGCAUCUAAGCGGGAAACCUGCCUCAAGAUAAGAUAUCCCUGAAGACCCCUGGAAGACCACCAGGUUGAUAGGCGGGAUGUGUAAGCGCAGUGAUGCGUUCAGCUUACCCGUACUAAUAGGUCGUUCGGCUUAUCUCU